GAUGAAGAACGCAGCGAAAUGCGAUAAGUAGUGUGAAUUGCAGAAUUCAGUGAAUCAUCGAAUCUUUGAACGCACAUUGCGCCCCUCGGUAUUCCGUGGGGCAUGCCUGUUCGAGCGUCAUUUAACCCCUCAAGCCUAGCUUGGUAUUGGGUGCUUGUCCCGCCUCUCGCGCGGCGACUCACCUCAAAGUCAUCGGCAGCCCGCAUCUCGCCGGCCGUGAGCGCAGCACAGACGCGCACUUGGCAACGACGGAUCGGCUCUCCAAAAGCUUAUUUCAACCACUGACCUCGGAUCAGGUAGGGAUACCCGCUGAACUUAAGCAUAUCAAUAAGCGGAGGA
RNAcentral lists this unclassified non-coding RNA (339 nucleotides) under soil metagenome. RNAcentral's name for it is "partial contains 5.8S ribosomal RNA, internal transcribed spacer 2, and large subunit ribosomal RNA". The stretch from base 1 to 120 matches the Rfam family "5.8S ribosomal RNA", at positions 35 to 154 of the family's 154-position model. The record is from RNAcentral.